UUAAAAAGCUCGUAGUUGGAUUUCUGGUGUGUCCAGUCGGCCUUUGCUCUUUGAGUGAUUGCGCUGUACUGGUCUGCUAUGUUUGGGUGGAAUCUGUGUGGCAUUAAGUUGUCGUGCAGGGGAUGCCCAUCGUUUACUGUGAAAAAAUUAGAGUGUUCAAAGCAGGCUUAUGCCGUUGAAUAUAUUAGCAUGGAAUAAUGAUAUAGGACCUUGGUACUAUUUUGUUGGUUUGCGCACUAAGGUAAUGAUUAAGAGGGACAGUUGGGGGUAUUUGUAUUCCAUUGUCAG
RNAcentral lists this ribosomal RNA (288 nucleotides) under uncultured eukaryote. RNAcentral describes it as "partial 18S ribosomal RNA". It matches the Rfam family "Eukaryotic small subunit ribosomal RNA", at positions 619 to 908 of the family's 1831-position model. The record is from RNAcentral.